This 238-nucleotide ribosomal RNA is filed under the name uncultured bacterium. RNAcentral describes it as "partial 16S ribosomal RNA". It matches the Rfam family "Bacterial small subunit ribosomal RNA", at positions 95 to 334 of the family's 1533-position model. The record is from RNAcentral.
CCGGCGCACGGGUGAGUAACACGUAUCCAACCUGCCGUCUACUCUUGGACAGCCUUCUGAAGGAAGAUUAAUACAAGAUGGCAUCAUGAGUCCACACGUUCACAUGAUUAAAGGUAUUCCGGUAGACGAUGGGGAUGCGUUCCAUUAGAUAGUAGGCGGGGUAACGGCCCACCUAGUCUUCGAUGGAUAGGGGUUCUGAGAGGAAGGUCCCCCACAUUGGAACUGAGACACGGUCCAA